Molecule: ribosomal RNA, 462 nt
Filed under: uncultured bacterium
Lineage: Bacteria
Description: bacterial SSU rRNA
Rfam family: Bacterial small subunit ribosomal RNA
Source: RNAcentral
GUACGCUGGCGGCGUGCCUAACACAUGCAAGUCGAACGGUUCUAAGCGCGAGCUUAGGAUAGUGGCGAACGGGUGAGUAAAAGGUAGGAAUCUACCCCUUGGACGGAGAUAGCUACUGGAAACGGUAGGUAAACUUCGAUAAGCCCGAGAGGGGAAAGUGGUGAGACAGCCGAGGGAUGUAGCCUACUCUCCAUCAGGUAGUUGGUGAGAUAAAAGCUUACCAAGCCGAUGACGGAUAACCGGUGUGAGAGCAUGAACGGUCACAAGGGCACUGAGAGACGGGCCCUACUCCUACGGGAGGCAGCAGUGGGGAAUCUUGGACAAUGGGCGAAAGCCUGAUCCAGCGACGCCGCGUGGAGGAAGAAGUCCUUCGGGAUGUAAACUUCUGAACUAGCCGAAUAAAAGGCCUGUGGACACACAGGAGAAGAAAGUAGGCUAGGAAAAGUCCCGGCUAACUACGUG